This is a long non-coding RNA of Amphiprion ocellaris (clown anemonefish), 859 nucleotides long. The record is from Ensembl. NCBI's taxonomy places the organism in Eukaryota, Metazoa, Chordata, Actinopteri, Pomacentridae.
AGGGGGUAGAGAAGAGGACAGGCUCAGCAGAGUGCACGUGAGACUGCGUGGGGUGAGAUGAUGAACACGUUUGCAGGCAAUAAUCUGUAAGCAGCGUGUGCAGGCAGGGAAGUGCACCGCAUGAGCAUGUGAGCCUGGUGAUCGUGGACGAGUUCUUCUGGGACUGAAGGGAAGCUGAUAAACAUGGAUGCACGUGAGGACAACCACCCGAGAAAAUAGCACAUAAUUAUUUCCCUGAAGCAAGUGUUUUUUGUUUGGAAACCUUAGCAAAUAACCUCUGGCACACAAACAAGUGUGUGCAUGUCAAGCUGCUUGAGCAACUGGCAGACACGCUGACUGCUGGGUGGAUACUUUCCAUUGCAAAACAAACAUCUGGGAUGUUGUUUGCAUGGGGAACGACAUGCAAACACUGUCGUUGCUAUUUGAAGAGCUUGUGACGGCCUCUCUCUGUGCAGCUCUCAACAACAGACAGCGCACUGAACCCGGGCGGCUUGACUCAUCACCGACUGCCUUACUUCAGACGUCUGCUGGCAGACGCUCGAUACUGCGCCGAGAGCUCCAACGGCAUAACUCGUUGCCUAGCGACCACACGACGCUUCGGGAAGAGAAAGCCUGGGUGCAUCGUGAGGACGUUUCCGGCCUUCCACUGGGUUCCAGCCGAACGGAGGCUCCAACCUGCACAGCCCUAUACAAACGUAGGAAAACGCUAACCUUUAUCUGUUCCUGAUUUGGGUUGAUGUCAUUAAUAGCUUGAUGAUUUUAAAUUAGUCACUCUUUAGCAUAUCGAUCGUAGUCCAAACUACCGAUUCAUUGUGUUAGAUCGUCCGCUAACUGUCCUCCUUCACCAUAUACCUCUUCC